GAGUAAAAUGUUGUCCAAAAAUGAAACGUAUGGUAUUUUAAUCUCGGAAUCCAUCGACUCCAAUGCCUAAUUGAAGUUGUCUUGUCUGCGUUCUCAAACGUUAUUGCUUGCUGCUGCAUAGUUGAUCGAAAGCAUGGCAACAUCAUUGUCCAACAUCCUUUUCAAGGGAAUUGCAGCUCGUUCUUUCACCGCACCUUAACUGGCCAACAUUUCCACAAGUUUUCAUUAAGGGGGAGUUUAUUGGUGGAUCAGAUAUUGUUCUUAAUAUGCAUCAGACGGGUGAAUUGAAGGAAAAGCUUUAAGAUAUUAUGUCCAAGCAGUAAAUGGACAAAUAAUGUGAUGAAAUUCAAGGGAGUGAGGUAGUUUAGACAAACUUAUUUGAUGUAAUCUGUUUCUGUUGCUGAAAGAUCUCCUUAUGUAACUUCUUUGAACCAGAUUUUCUGAAUGGUAUUAAGUUAUUCGGCAAAUAAAAAAUUGUACUUUUGUUA
Glycine soja is the source of this 488-nucleotide long non-coding RNA. RefSeq lists it as uncharacterized. The transcript has 3 exons. NCBI's taxonomy places the organism in Eukaryota, Viridiplantae, Streptophyta, Magnoliopsida, Fabales, Fabaceae. The record is from RefSeq and is a predicted model, not a curated record.